Solanum dulcamara is the source of this 671-nucleotide long non-coding RNA. RefSeq lists it as uncharacterized. The record is from RefSeq and is a predicted model, not a curated record. The transcript is spliced from 3 exons. Lineage: Eukaryota; Viridiplantae; Streptophyta; Magnoliopsida; Solanales; Solanaceae.
GACCAUUGCUUUGACUAAUUUUGACACCGAGAGAUUAAGGAUAAUUCUAGAAAAUGGGAUUCCGGUUGUUAGCAAUCAGGUACAACAUUCAAUUGUUGAUAUGCGUCCUCAACAGAAAAUGGCAGAGAUUUGUCAGCUUACAGGAGUCAAACUUAUAACGUCUCUCUCUCUCUCUCUCAACUUGUUAGGGUGCCGCAAAAUUAUUGCAACGAUACAUCAUUUAUUUAAUUUGUUAAUGUGAUUGUCUAAUAGGAAUCCAACUAGGCCUGCCGCAUGCUUACAUAACUGCCUGAUAUUAGAUUGAGUCUAGUUUUCUCUAAUUCUGGGAUUCCAAGAAUGAGCAUCUCCUUUAUUACUUCUCAGUAAUUCUGCAACCGGAAAAGUACCUUCAUUUCUAUGACCUAAAUGACUGAUGUAUUACUAAAUUUUCUUUGAAUGCAUGUAUGGAACAGUAAUGGGAGGGUUAUUAUCUAAAAAGUUCCUUGAUACCAACUUAACGAUACCUUUUGCUGGUCCUGCAUUGAACACUCCUUCACUACAGAAGUACAAAAGGAUGGUUGACGCUUGGGGAGGGUGGAGUCUCUUCCAAGAGUUGCUCAGGACACUGAAAACUGUGGCCAACAAACAUGGAAUCUCUAUUCCAACAGUUGCUGUGAGAUUUAUACUGGAUC